This 245-nucleotide ribosomal RNA is filed under the name uncultured bacterium. Its description in RNAcentral is "partial 16S ribosomal RNA". It matches the Rfam family "Bacterial small subunit ribosomal RNA", at positions 524 to 768 of the family's 1533-position model. The record is from RNAcentral.
UACGGAGGGUGCAAGCGUUAUCCGGAUUCACUGGGUUUAAAGGGUGUGUAGGCGGGUAUUUAAGUCAGUGGUGAAAUCUCCGAGCUUAACUUGGAAACUGCCAUUGAUACUAUUUAUCUUGAAUUCUGUUGAGGUGGGCGGAAUAUGUCAUGUAGCGGUGAAAUGCAUAGAUAUGACAUAGAACACCGAUUGCGAAGGCAGCUCACUAAGCAGACAUUGACGCUGAGGCACGAAAGCGUGGGGAU